GUUCAUAUCGAUCAAAAAAACGCCCACCAACUCCAUUUCUCCUUUCUCCUUUCUCUCUGAAAAAAAAGAAAAUGACUAGCAUUUGUAAGCUCUCGAAUCCAUGCUUCAGCUCAACCUCGUAUGGUAGCAGAUCUUCAUCAACACCUAAGUUUGUUGUCCAUCUUCGUACUAGCACCUUUAAUCACACCCUCUCUGGCUCCAAGUUAUCACUUGUUAUCAAUCCUUCUAUUAGGGCAUCUUUGUGUGUCAAAUGCUCCCAAGCUGAUGGAAAUGGAAGCUCAGUGAAGAAAACUACUCUCCAUCAUCUCUAUGAGACGCAAGGACAGAGCCCAUGGUAUGACAAUCUGUGUCGUCCCGUCACCGAUCUCAUUCCAUUGAUUGACAGUGGUGUCAGAGGUGUAACCAGCAAUCCGGCGAUUUUCCAGAAAGCUAUAUCAACAUCAAAUGCUUACAAUGACCAGUUCAGGGAACUUGUACAAGCUGGAAAAGAUAUAGACAGUGUGUAUUGGGAACUUGUGGUAAAGGACAUCCAAGAUGCAUGCAAACUCUUUGAGACAAUCUAUGAUAAAACAGAUGGUGG
Molecule: unclassified non-coding RNA, 580 nt
Filed under: Hevea brasiliensis (rubber tree)
Lineage: Eukaryota; Viridiplantae; Streptophyta; Magnoliopsida; Malpighiales; Euphorbiaceae
Source: RNAcentral